This 791-nucleotide ribosomal RNA is filed under the name Salmonella enterica. Its description in RNAcentral is "partial 23S ribosomal RNA". It matches the Rfam family "Bacterial large subunit ribosomal RNA", at positions 755 to 1547 of the family's 2925-position model. The record is from RNAcentral. Lineage: Bacteria; Pseudomonadati; Pseudomonadota; Gammaproteobacteria; Enterobacterales; Enterobacteriaceae.
GGUAACACUAACUGGAGGACCGAACCGACUAAUGUUGAAAAAUUAGCGGAUGACCUGUGGCUGGGGGUGAAAGGCCAAUCAAACCGGGAGAUAGCUGGUUCUCCCCGAAAGCUAUUUAGGUAGCGCCUCGUGAAUUCAUCUCCGGGGGUAGAGCACUGUUUCGGCUAGGGGGCCAUCCCGGCUUACCAACCCGAUGCAAACUGCGAAUACCGGAGAAUGUUAUCACGGGAGACACACGGCGGGUGCUAACGUCCGUCGUGAAGAGGGAAACAACCCAGACCGCCAGCUAAGGUCCCAAAGUCAUGGUUAAGUGGGAAACGAUGUGGGAAGGCCCAGACAGCCAGGAUGUUGGCUUAGAAGCAGCCAUCAUUUAAAGAAAGCGUAAUAGCUCACUGGUCGAGUCGGCCUGCGCGGAAGAUGUAACGGGGCUAAACCAUGCACCGAAGCUGCGGCAGCGACACUAUGUGUUGUUGGGUAGGGGAGCGUUCUGUAAGCCUGCGAAGGUGGCCUGUGAGGGUUGCUGGAGGUAUCAGAAGUGCGAAUGCUGACAUAAGUAACGAUAAAGCGGGUGAAAAGCCCGCUCGCCGGAAGACCAAGGGUUCCUGUCCAACGUUAAUCGGGGCAGGGUGAGUCGACCCCUAAGGCGAGGCCGAAAGGCGUAGUCGAUGGGAAACGGGUUAAUAUUCCCGUACUUGGUGUUACUGCGAAGGGGGGACGGAGAAGGCUAUGUUGGCCGGGCGACGGUUGUCCCGGUUUAAGCGUGUAGGUGUGUGUUCCAGGUAAAUCCGGUU